UUAAAGGAAGCUAUUUUAGCGUCUCAUUGUUACUGAGAAGAUAGGGUAAUCUCCCCCUUUAAG
This 63-nucleotide transfer RNA is filed under the name Streptocephalus cafer. RNAcentral's name for it is "tRNA-Asn". The record is from RNAcentral. Lineage: Eukaryota; Metazoa; Arthropoda; Branchiopoda; Anostraca; Streptocephalidae.